This is a long non-coding RNA of Lathyrus oleraceus (garden pea), 1488 nucleotides long. RefSeq lists it as uncharacterized. The transcript is spliced from 3 exons. The record is from RefSeq and is a predicted model, not a curated record. Lineage: Eukaryota; Viridiplantae; Streptophyta; Magnoliopsida; Fabales; Fabaceae.
GAAAAUAUGUUCUUGGAGAAGCCAAUGCGAUCAACGACGCCUCACACACGGACGCGACAUCAUCUUCUCUAUGGUCACUAAGAGCUUCAACGUGAACAACACCAUAUCGCAGUGCAAACCUUCUAGCGUUUCAACGGCUCCACGCAUCCUUCUCCAAGAACAAAAUUAAAAAGAAGGUGACGAAAGAAAACAACUCCAAGGUCAAUCUAUGAGAUUCAAUCCAACUUUCAACCUUCUUACUCUAUUCGUCCUGGUGUGCGCGAGAUUGAAAAUAAUGAAUUCGAUAUGAAGCAGAGAACUCACCGAUUCAAAGUCUUGACGCAAACAGAGACUUCUUCGAAAUUUUUGGAGGAGGUUGAGAAUUGUGGAAAAUGGUGAAAUGUUGAGUUGAGUGUUCUAUUGGUUAGGGAUGGUUCCUUGAAGAAGUUGGAAGUUGAAGUUCUGUUGAGUUUUGCCUUCAGAAUUUCUCCUUUUCUGUUACGCUUGCGUGUUCCUGUUGUUAGGCUUAGUUCAUUCUCUUUCUUUUUCUCUGCAAGUGCGGUGCAAAUAGUUGCAGAUGAUGAAUCAUGAUGAAUGCCUUUUUUUGGGUCAAGUGGGAGAUACACAGGGUUCUGGAAAAAAGUGGAAAAAAUCUCCCCGAGUUAGUUAGUCAAUCGUGAUUGGUGGAAGCGAAUUGUCAAAAGUUAAAUCAUGCAUAUUAUUUGUUGACUUGCACAUGGCUUAGAAUUAUGUGAAUGAGGAUUUGCACUAAAUAUUGCAUUGGCAUGGUGUAUUGUAUGAUGAAUUGUAUGGAGUUUGGAUGGUUAAAUGCAGGGUUGAACUGGUCAUAUUUCUUCUAUCAAUGCCAUUGCAGGUGAAUCUGAGUCCUGUAUGUUCACAAUCAUAGUUCCCCGUUUUAAUCUCCCAGAGUCGGUUGUGAUUGCAUAUGAUGGUCAGAAGAGUGUUGUUUCUCUGUUGGUUAUUCGUUUGGCGGGCCAUACGCCUUACGAGUCUGAUAAAGUUGUGCCUUACAAGUAUAAUGCUACUAUGGUAGAAGACGACAAAGAAGUGCCUAUUCAUGCUUUUUCGUUUGUUGUGAACAUCAUUGAUGUAAGUGGUGUGAGCGAAAUGGUAGGAUAUUUGCUGAUGUAGCUCCUAAGAGGACUGAAGAUAUGGUGAUAGAGAAAUCAAGUCAAGAGAAAACUCAUGUUGUACAAGUCGGCCAAUCCAAUGUUAUGAAUCAGAAUGUUGAUCAAGAUGGGGUGUUGAAACUGAUCAAGAAGAGUGAUUUCAAUGUGGUGGACCAGUUGUUGCACACUUCGUCCAAGAUAUUCGUGUUAUCCCUACUGAUGAGUUCGGAAGCACACCGAGAAGCUUUGUAGAAAGUCCUAGAGCAGGCCUAUGUGGACCCUGACGUGACAAUUGAUUAAUUUGAUGGUGUUAUGGCUAAUAUUACUGCAUGUAACAAUUUGAGCUUCAGUGAUGAAUGUAGUGGUAAAUUCAUGACCA